Spinacia oleracea (spinach) is the source of this 750-nucleotide long non-coding RNA. RefSeq lists it as uncharacterized. Lineage: Eukaryota; Viridiplantae; Streptophyta; Magnoliopsida; Caryophyllales; Amaranthaceae. The transcript has 3 exons. The record is from RefSeq and is a predicted model, not a curated record.
CCCUCGCCCCGCCGCACCAACACCACACCACACACCACCAACUCCAGUCACCCUCACCACCUCGCCAACCACCUCCACCAUCAAUUCCGGCGAGCCACCGCCCGAAACCACCUUGAAACACCCUCGAAUUUUCCCCUGUUUCGCCCACUUCGCGCUUCAUUUUCUCGCCCCCUCGCCGCUCCGCCACCACCAAACCACAGCCAUCACCGUCGCCCUCGUCGUCGAGCCACCCCAGCCAACCUCCCUUCCUCCCUCCUCUUUCUCCUCCUCCUCGUGCAUCCCUUCUCCCCUCCCCUGUUCCGCACCCUGCUCCCAGAAAACCAAAACCAAAUUUUGGUUUUCUUUGGUUUUACUCUCCUUUAAAAACCCACAAUUAAAUUGGGCCAUCUUAUUUGGGCUUUUGGAAACUGGACUCGGAGCUCAGGACGAACGAACCAACGAAAACCCUUAGCAAAUCGCGGAAGUGAGGUACUGAUGGGGACGAUGGACACGAGUAGUGGCGAGGAAUUUCACGUUAAUAAUAUUCACCUAGUUUAUGCUUAAAGUUUUAAUAGUUUUAAUUAAAGACUUUUAGUAAGUUAUGUACUUUUAUUUUGAUAAUAUAAAGGAUUAUUAUAUAUAUUUUGGAGUAUUUAAUGGCUUAUGAUUGAUGUUUGCCUUGUAAUUUCCAAAAAGGAAGUUACGGCAGGUAAUGCCCUGACCAAUUAGGUUAAUUCCGCUGCUAAUUAUGCUUUAAUAAUUGAAUUAGAG